Molecule: non-coding RNA, 325 nt
Organism: Pelobates cultripes (western spadefoot toad)
Lineage: Eukaryota; Metazoa; Chordata; Amphibia; Anura; Pelobatidae
Source: the annotation of a GenBank genome assembly
CUGUAUAUUAGAAAAGAACUGACUCGCAGGUUGUGCCUGAUAGACCUACUUAAAUCUUUAUUCUUUAUUCUUUCUGUUGCAUAGAAGUAUAAGUUUAUUACUCUGUUUUAUUGUAAGUUAUUUCACAUGGGAUCUGUGUGCCUGGUAUGAUUGUUACUUUAAUACCAUAAGCCCACUACACUUUCUAUGAGAGUGGGAUAGUGUAAAUGUGUUGCAUUGUUUGCAUGAUGAGCUCAGUAUUUUUAUAACUGAGACAAAAAGUCACUUCAUUAGUAUUUGAAAGUUAAUUCCCCAUAUGGGAUUAAUUGUAUAGAACACCAAUCAG